UUCUCCAGGCACUUAAGGUGUUAAAGCCGUAGGCAGUUUUAAUUGAACAAAAAAGAACAGCUGUUCUUUUUUUUUUACAUUAAAACUGCCUGCGGCUUCAACACCUUGAGUGCCU
This 115-nucleotide microRNA precursor is filed under the name Pelobates cultripes (western spadefoot toad). The record is from RNAcentral. Lineage: Eukaryota; Metazoa; Chordata; Amphibia; Anura; Pelobatidae.